This is a long non-coding RNA of Lactuca sativa (garden lettuce), 674 nucleotides long. RefSeq lists it as uncharacterized. NCBI's taxonomy places the organism in Eukaryota, Viridiplantae, Streptophyta, Magnoliopsida, Asterales, Asteraceae. The record is from RefSeq and is a predicted model, not a curated record.
UUGAGCUACAAAAAUAGAAUACCUCCUUCUCCUUCUCCUUCUCAAAUCCCAAUUCCCAUGGUAGAAGCUGAAAAAGGAUUCCGGAUUUACUUGGAUUCGCUUUGGGCUUAUCCAUGCUUUAUCGAAAAAAAUUCCAAGCAUCAGCUCUUAUAUUCUUGUAUCUUGCUCUGGAGCUUGCCACUGCCUAUGCCUUCAUCAUUGGAAUCGGUGGUCUCGGAAGAGUGCAAGUUUUAAUUCAUGGUUAUUUGAGGGCCGAAGGGUUUGUGGAGGCUGCAAUACAAUUUUUUCAAGAAUUAGGCAUGAACGUGGAGCUACAAGACAUUGGAUCUAGGAAAAUAAUCAUAAUAUGGCUUUGGGCAUAUGACUUUCGGAUGGUUGCAACCCCUAUUAAAUGUAUCUUUUUCAAGGUGUUGUUGAAGGUCAAUCCCAACAUGAGAUUGAGAUUUCGGCUCAUGAUAUGGAUGAGUUGUUAGUCUGCUCCAUAUAUUCCACUUUAUCCUUGAAUGUCUGUAUUGUGAAAGUAGUCAUGUUGAUAUUGUUUCCCUCACUUAAUGGUCUUAAUAAGGACAUGGUUUGGGAUGUUUUUUUUUUUUUGACUUAAUAGGCUUAAUGGGUCAAGCACUUAAUCUAGACAACUUUACAUGAUGUUUUAUUUUGACUUAAUAUUGAUAGAA